AAAGUUUUGAAGGCUGAUCUUCUACUUAAAAUUGCUGUUCCUUCGUCGGGGCCAUCGUGAUCACUGUAACCGCCAGGUAAGGUGAAACCUGCCGCAAAAGUUAUCGUUGCUAUGAGGGUGGCUACUAUCUGAUGCGAUUGACUGGUUUUCUCGAGUUCAGUGAUGAACUCAUUGUCGAGUCUUGACAUGUUAUCACGUUCUGCGAGCUGGAUAAUUGAAGGCCGACCAGGUUUAUAUCCAACCUUCUUUAGUUUUCUUUUUGUCCAUCCCAGAAAUGGCAUAUUGCUUUCAUCCUUCGUUUUUACCACUACGUCCAGAGCAGUUAAAUUUUCACUAUUGAUGGCCUUUUUAUCAACUAGGUGGUGCUCUGUAAGACAACACUCUGAAAAGCCAUUAGUAGCAAGCAGAUGGGCCGGAGUGUUCCCAUCUUUAUCUUUCUGAUUUAUUAGGUUAGCCAGGAAAGGUUUUUCAGUAAUAGUCUUCACUCCUUCAAAACUCCUGCUUUCCACAGCAAAAUGGAGAACAUUUCGGCCUCUAUUGUCAACCAGGUCGCAGCAAUCUGGGCAGUCUGACAUAAUUUUUUCCACCACCAUUAAAUGGCUUUUGCCGCAGGUAAUUGCAAUAUGAAGAGGUGUCUUUCCAUCAUUAUCGCCAAUAUAUGCGGCAGAUUUAUUAUCACCUUCUAGUAACAUUUGCACAAUUGCAGGAAGAUUGAAGUAGGAAGCAUAAUGCAGCGGAGUCCAUCCUUCUUUGUCUUGGUCUCUGGUCAGACUGCUGUUUUUAUCGAGUAUUUUUCUUGUCAAAUCGGCAUCUCCACUAAUCACGGCUUCGUGCAAAGCUGUUCUAGCUUUGGGCCCGGUGUAUGCCGGUGAGAGACAUAUCUCCAAUAUCUUAGAAGCAGUGCUAUUGCUCUCUCUCACCGCUGCAAGGUAAAGCGGGCUUUCUCCGGCGGCAUUAGUUAUGUUCGCAAAUUCAGGAUUUUCUCUAAUCAAUAUUUCCACCACUUGAGGAUGAUUAUUUCUCACAGCCUCAUGUAAGGCUGAGUCUUCAUCUGUGCUUGUCUUCUUCAGCAUCUUAUCACUUGUUGAUACCUCUGCGCCUCUCUCAAGGUCUUCGUAUUGAGCCUUCUUGAUGCUAUGAAUAAGAAAUUCGACUAUAUUGUUGUGCCCGAACCUUGCUGCAAUGUGCAGCGGAGUUUCGCCUCUGAUAUUUGGUUCAGCUAGGAGUGAUGGACAUUUGCUGAUAACUAGUUUCACAAAUUCAAUGGAUUCUUCCGUUUCAUUUUGUACAGCUGUGAUAUAAACAUGUAGGACUGUAUUUUUGUUCGGGGUACGCAAAAGAUCUAGAGGGCCUGUGUAAUGUUUGAACAGGUUGAUUUGGCCUUCUGCUGCAGAAUUGUACCAUUUAGCAUCCAUGAAAGUGAUUAUGUCUUUCCGUUCGGGCUGAUCAUUGAUCUCAGACGCUAAUUGGGUUUCGGGCAAAGCUUGGGAAUCCGCCAUAUAUGUAUCUAGUUAGAGGUUGCUGGCAAAGCUGAGCAAUGAAAAGUACUGAACAGAAAAAUGCGUUUGAAGCUAGAUUUUUGUAACACCCUUAUCCCUAUUGAAAAAUCAUUCUUCCCUUGCUUUACAGGACCAUGGAGUCUAGCCAGUCGGAACAUCUAAAACUAUUAAGUUGAUACUCAACAUCUAUCUUACAUCACCUGCAAAACUGGACGGAAGACAAAACUAUUGC
Molecule: unclassified non-coding RNA, 1731 nt
Filed under: Hevea brasiliensis (rubber tree)
Lineage: Eukaryota; Viridiplantae; Streptophyta; Magnoliopsida; Malpighiales; Euphorbiaceae
Source: RNAcentral